Molecule: ribosomal RNA, 253 nt
Filed under: uncultured prokaryote
Description: partial 16S ribosomal RNA
Rfam family: Bacterial small subunit ribosomal RNA
Source: RNAcentral
UACGAGUGCCUCAAGCGUUAUCCGGAAUCAUUGGGCGUAAAGGGUGUGUAGGUGGCCGCGUUAGUCUUCCGUUAAAUUUUUCGACUCAAUCGGAAACAUGCGGGGGAAACGGCGCGGCUUGAGGAUGCGAGAGGUCUGUGGAACUCAUAGUGUAGCGGUGAAAUGCGUUGAUAUUAUGGGGAACACCAAAAGCGAAGGCAGCAGACUGGAGCACUCCUGACACUGAAACACGAAAGCGUGGGUAGCGAACGGG